This 274-nucleotide ribosomal RNA is filed under the name uncultured bacterium. RNAcentral describes it as "partial 16S ribosomal RNA". It matches the Rfam family "Bacterial small subunit ribosomal RNA", at positions 524 to 794 of the family's 1533-position model. The record is from RNAcentral.
UACGUAGGGCGCAAGCGUUGUCCGGAAUUAUUGGGCGUAAAGAGCUCGUAGGCGGCCAGUUGCGUCUGCUGUGAAAUCCCGGGGCUCAACCCCGGGCGUGCAGUGGAUACGGGCUGGCUAGAGGCAGGCAGGGGAGAACGGGAAUUCCCGGUGUAGCGGUGAAAUGCGCAGAUAUCGGGAGGAACACCGGUGGCGAAGGCGGUUCUCUGGGCCUGUACUGACGCUGAGGAGCGAAAGCGUGGGGAGCGAACAGGAUUAGAUACCCGUUGUAAGU